GUGUCAGCCGCCGCGGUAAGACGAACCGUGCAAACGUUAUUCGGAAUCACUGGGCAUAAAGGGCGCGUAGGCGGCUCCAAAAGUCAGGGGUGAAAUCCGGCAGCUUAACUGUCGCAGUGCCUUUGAUACUGUGGAGCUAGAGGGAGGUAGGGGUCUGUGGAACUUCCGGUGGAGCGGUGAAAUGCGUUGAUAUCGGAAGGAACGCCGGUGGCGAAAGCGACGGACUGGAUCUCUUCUGACGCUGAGGCGCGAAAGCCAGGGGAGCAAACGGGAUUAGAAACCCCUGUAGUCC
RNAcentral lists this ribosomal RNA (292 nucleotides) under uncultured bacterium. RNAcentral describes it as "partial 16S ribosomal RNA". It matches the Rfam family "Bacterial small subunit ribosomal RNA", at positions 505 to 796 of the family's 1533-position model. The record is from RNAcentral.